UGCUACCAAUGCUCAUUAUACAAUAAGCA
RNAcentral lists this non-coding RNA (29 nucleotides) under Macaca fascicularis (crab-eating macaque). RNAcentral also lists the same sequence under 1 other name. The record is from RNAcentral. Lineage: Eukaryota; Metazoa; Chordata; Mammalia; Primates; Cercopithecidae.